CAUGUGCGUAUCAGUACAGUGUGUAGUAUAGUAUUCUACAGUAUACAACACAAUUCUACAGUAAGCACUACGCGAUCGAGGGAUACGACAGUGUGUAGUAUAAUAUUCUACAGAAUACCACAAAAUGAUAUUUAUAAGCACUACAUGAUCGAGGGAUGCUACAGUGUAUAGUAUAGUAUUUUACAGUAUACUACAGUUUACUACAGGUGUAGAAAAGGCCCAUGGAGUUGGUGGAAUACUCCUUUAAUUCAUUGCCAUUUACUCAGCUGGGCCAGGGGCGCUUUAAUUAGGUCAGGUGGAAAUGUCCGACAGAUCUCAACUCCAUAAAAGGAGGAAAUUGCCAUCGCCUGAUCUCGCUGCUUUCUCUUCCUUAACUCCAUCUCACCCAGAAGUUCUGUGCGUCCAUGAAUCCACCACAGACUACCCAGUAAAUAUACCACUUUAUGGUUAAAGGAAUUCCUGCCUCAGUCUCAUACAUUCCUCUGUCACCUGACACGUGACCACCUGUUCACCUUCACUGUCAGUCAUCCUACCUGUCCAGCUACCCACACAGAUUCCACUAAUCUUUCAACAGGACACUAGAAUUCUAUAAACCUCUUCACUCUGAACAAGCUACAAUUUGGGAAAUGAAACAAUCACUAAAUGUCUUCCUGCAGCAGCUGGAUGCAGAGUGGAACCGUUAUGUAGAGCGUGGUGUUGUAAAGACAGAUGCAGAGAAGAAAGAGAAAGCGAGACAUCCCACAUGCAAUUUGUUUCUGGUUCAUAUACAAUGAACUAAGCAGAAUAGACUCAGCUGCUAAUGCAUUGGUGCCUAUGGGAGAGCCACCCCCAUAAGCAGACCAAAACUGACUUUUUUCCAUGGUAAACGACCUGGAUGGGACAUCUUCAUUUAACCAACAUCUUUGACAGAUGUAUACAAUGACUUGUUGCUCAUCCUUUCAAACUCCAGAGACUCCUAUACUGUACUUCUUUAGUGUCAAAUGUGGCACUACAGUGUCUUGAAUUUAUUUUUCAGAUAUUUUAAAAUUAAAAUCUCAUGUUUCAAAUAAUUAGUAUCUAAAGAAAUUUGAGUUCAAUUGUACGGGGAA
Oncorhynchus nerka (sockeye salmon) is the source of this 1088-nucleotide long non-coding RNA. RefSeq lists it as uncharacterized. The record is from RefSeq and is a predicted model, not a curated record. The transcript has 5 exons. Lineage: Eukaryota; Metazoa; Chordata; Actinopteri; Salmoniformes; Salmonidae.